Molecule: non-coding RNA, 778 nt
Organism: Benincasa hispida (wax gourd)
Lineage: Eukaryota; Viridiplantae; Streptophyta; Magnoliopsida; Cucurbitales; Cucurbitaceae
Source: RefSeq, a predicted model, not a curated record
UUUUCCCUCUUUUUUGAAAAAUGGAAGAAAAAUUUGAGAACCCCUCCCAAAGUUUCCUUUCCCUCCCCCUAUGCCUCGUGGCUCUCACGUUUUCCCUUUCACUACCCUCCUCCUUAAUUUUCCUUUCCCUUCUCUCUAUCUCUCUCACGGUCAGACAGAACCACCCUCCACAGUUUUUCAUUUUUGGGUAAGAACGAACUCUUCCCCAUAGUUCUCAAUUGGCGGGUGAAUUUCAAACCCUAAUUUCCCAAUCGAAGAACCACUCGCGCAAUUCCUCCCCUCACUGCUUAUGAUUUCAAGAAAUUUGACUUUUGUUUGAGGAACUGAAAUUUGGAUUGAGUAUCAUUGUAUUGCUUUAUCAAGUUGGUAGCCCAAUAUUAUGUUGCUCACAAAGUGUUCUAUAAGCACUAUGGGCAUGGGGUUGAGAAGGAGUUUUUUUGGCGUGGAUGGUCUUCGAUUUGCAAGGUGUUCCAGCGCAUAGAGCUCCGGUUCGAAGGUGGGAGAAUAGUCUCUAGGUUCCAAAAAUUGACAUGAGACAAACUUGAGAAAACAUCGUUAAACACUCCUUAUUUAUCUUCAACAUAUUUUUAGUUAUUUUAACCAUUUUGUAAUUCAUUUAUUUUGCAUUCUAUUCUUGUGUCCAACUUAGCAUAUACUCUACUUGUUCAAUGUAGAAUAUAUAUGUAUACUUCAUGGUUGAUGCAUAGGGAUUUGUUGUUGAAACCAUAUGGAGUUGAUUUGGAUGAAAAAUAUAUUUUAUCUUGGUUUUGAAGUUAAA